CCUGGUUGAUUCUGCCAUUAGUCAUAUGCUUGUCUCAAAGAUUAAGCCAUGCAUGUCUAAGUAUAAACACGUUAUACUGUGAAACUGCGAAUGGCUCAUUAAAUCAGUUAUAGUUUAUUUGAUGGUUUUUGCUACAUGGAUAACUGUGGUAAUUCUAGAGCUAAUACAUGCGUACAAGCCCCGACUUCUGGAAGGGGUGUAUUUAUUAGAUAAAAAUCAACACUGUUGGUGAAUCAUGAUAACUUCUCGGAUCGCAUGGCCUCGUGCUGGCGAUACUUCAUUCAAAUAUCUGCCCUAUCAACUGUCGAUGGUAGGAUAGAGGCCUACCAUGGUUGCAACGGGUAACGGGGAAUAAGGGUUCGAUUCCGGAGAGGGAGCCUGAGAAACGGCUACCACAUCCAAGGAAGGCAGCAGGCGCGCAAAUUACCCAAUCCCGACACGGGGAGGUAGUGACAAUAUGUAACAAUAUACGGCUUUAUCGUCGUAUAAUUGGAAUGAGUACAAUUUAAAUCCCUUAACGAGGAACAAUUGGAGGGCAAGUCUGGUGCCAGCAGCCGCGGUAAUUCCAGCUCCAAUAGCGUAUAUUAAAGUUGUUGCAGUUAAAAAGCUCGUAGUUGGACCUUGGGCCUGGACGGGCGGUCCGCCUCACGGCGUGUACUGUCUUGCCGGGCCUUUCCUCUUGGUGAUCUGUUGUUUCGGCAGCAGGGAACCAGGACCUUUACUUUGAAAAAAUUAGAGUGUUCAAAGCAGGCUCGACGCCGGAAUAUAUUAGCAUGGAAUAAUAAAAUAGGACGUGCGGUUCUAUUUUGUUGGUUUUUGGAAUCGCCGUAAUGAUUAAUAGGGACAGUCGGGGGCUUAGUACUCACAUGCUAGAGGUGAAAUUCUUGGAUUUUGUGAAGACUAACUUCUGCGAAAGCAUUUGCCA
RNAcentral lists this ribosomal RNA (925 nucleotides) under uncultured fungus. Its description in RNAcentral is "SSU rRNA". It matches the Rfam family "Eukaryotic small subunit ribosomal RNA", at positions 1 to 960 of the family's 1831-position model. The record is from RNAcentral. Lineage: Eukaryota; Fungi.